UGCGGAAGGAUCAUUACCACACCAMMAAAAUAUCCACGUGAAUGUACUCUUUAUGAAGCCAAGUCAGGCGCAAGCUUGUAGGCAGAAGGUUUCGCAAGAAGCCGAUGUGAUUUUCAUCCCUUUUUUAAUUGAAUGACUGAUUGAGAUAGCCAUCAGAAAUGAUAGCUUGUAAUAAUAUACAACUUUCAACAGUGGAUGUCUCGGCUCGCACAUCGAUGAAGAGCGCGGCGAACUGCGAUACGUAAUGCGAAUUGCAGAAUUCAGUGAGUCAUCGAAAUCUUGAACGCAUAUUGCACUUUCGGGUUAGUCCUGGAAGUAUGUCUGUAUCAGUGUCCGUCGACACCAAAUUGUUUGAUCAUGUAUGUGAUGAAGCAGAUUGUGGAGGUCUUGUUUCGGCAAGUCCUUUGAAAAGACGGUCCCUCGUUUGAUGUCGAGUACAUUAUGUAGAGGACUAGAUGGAUCUUGUUUCGGCAUGAUUUUGUGUAGCGACUGCACAGUGUCUGAAGGGAGAUUAAAUUGCGGUAGUUUUGCUUGUGUUUCGGCACGGGUGAACAAGUAUUGCAUUUUAAUUCGACUGGAAGGCUUGGGUGGUCAAAGACGAAAUCGAGGCAAGAGCUGUGUAGUCUGGUGUGCUCGUGUCAAGUGGAGAAGCAAAUGGGAAUCAUAAUCCAAUUUGGACCUGAUAUCAGACAAGACUACCCGCUGAAUUUAA
This 712-nucleotide ribosomal RNA is filed under the name Aphanomyces helicoides. RNAcentral describes it as "eukaryotic LSU rRNA". The record is from RNAcentral. Lineage: Eukaryota; Oomycota; Saprolegniomycetes; Saprolegniales; Verrucalvaceae.